Long non-coding RNA from Gasterosteus aculeatus aculeatus (three-spined stickleback), 1088 nucleotides. Lineage: Eukaryota; Metazoa; Chordata; Actinopteri; Perciformes; Gasterosteidae. The record is from Ensembl.
GUCUGGGUUUCAGAAAAAGCCCUCGGCCUAUUUUUUAUCCGCAGCGUCAACACAGUUUGUCACGGCAGGGGCACCAAACAUGCAGGCUGCCAAAACACCCCAUUCUGCACGGGGUGUUAGAUGCCCCCCCACCCCUUCCCACCUCCCUCCCCCUGCAGACACCAUAAAUCACCAGGUCUCUUCCAGGUUGACCUGCUGAUGAACCACACUUUUAAGUCAUUUGAAUAGCUAAACUACUUAAUAAUAAGCUACUGGAAAAGGUCUGCCAACAGCAACGGGAUGAUGAAAAUAAAGUGCUUAAAGGAGAGAUCAACUGGGUCAGCGUCAGCGGCGGAGGAAGGAAGGGCGAGAAUCAACGGCGGGUGAAAGUCAGAAAAAUAGACACAGGAAGAGACACACAUGGAGAAACAAACACACCCGGAGGGGAACGAGAGGGAGCAGAGAACCGGAGGAGUGAACGAGCAGACUCCAGUGUCCCUGGGCGAGGCCUGCAGGAAAUGAUGUUCGGUUUCGGAGAGAUGAGGAUGAGAAAAGCAGCUGUGGGGGGGGUGUCUGCCGCCUCCUCUGGGGGCCAACGCCGCCGAUGCCACCAACACCACGCGGUUGAUGAGCAAAAAGCGCCGUCGGUGAACGGCCGCUGAGGAAACGCUGAUUAGACUGCGGCUCCGGCUCUCUGCGUGUCACUAGUAACGUCUGAUCUGAGCGAUGCAAAAAACAACAGCAACGUGCCAUGAAAGAAUAAAACAUGCAGAGUUACAAAUAACUGAGAUAACAGUGGAAAAAUACAGAUACGCACGCAUUGAUGGCCGGGAUAAUUGUAGUAAUAGACUCACUUAAUCCCAGUUUAAGAGUUUUCAUUUAUCGCGUAACAAAGUAAACAAACACACAGUAGAACGGAGUAAAAACAGGUCUGAGUCGUGCCUGAGAUCAAAAUGUCCAAAGGACGAUUAAGUACACCGUUUAUAGCACGAAGCAGCAACAAAACCACAAAAAGUCCAGACGAAGAGUGGGAAGAACGGAGGGGACGGCCGGGGUCCUUUUCGGCUGAAUAUGAUCCCACGCAGAUGGUGCUGGGACAGAGGCGGGGG